This 405-nucleotide long non-coding RNA is filed under the name Helianthus annuus (common sunflower). The record is from RNAcentral. Lineage: Eukaryota; Viridiplantae; Streptophyta; Magnoliopsida; Asterales; Asteraceae.
AUGCCCCACAUAUCGUCUAGAUCUGAUCUACUUGGAGAAUGACAUGUGAGGUGAGGUCGAGAUCGAAGCUAUUUCGGGGCCUGGAAGAUGAAUGGUUCAAGAACCAAGAAUCGUGGUUCAAACCACCAGUGAUAUUGAUGUUCUGGGUGGGUUUAGAAAUUAGGGGUUCAGACAUUCUCUAGAAGAAAUUUUGUAAUUUUAAAUUAGCCAUAUUUUGGUGGGUUUAAUUUCAAACAUUUUUUUAGAAGAAGUUUGGUAAUUUGUUUUGCUGUAUUGUAUGUGUCUACGUUUACUAUUUGAUUGCCAUAAUUUCUUUUAAAGUUUCUACUCAGUGGGUGUUAUGGAUUUGCUCAUGUUGUGUUCUUAGACUUUCUAAACUAAGAAGUUUUCAAGAGUGUUUAGGUU